Sceloporus undulatus (fence lizard) is the source of this 114-nucleotide small nucleolar RNA. RefSeq annotates it as small nucleolar RNA SNORD90. The record is from RefSeq and is a predicted model, not a curated record. NCBI's taxonomy places the organism in Eukaryota, Metazoa, Chordata, Lepidosauria, Squamata, Phrynosomatidae. The transcript has a single exon.
UUUUUCUGGCGCGGGGCGUCUGAUGAUGAAGCUGCAUAGGGCAGAUUCUGAGCUGAGAGGCACAGCCUUCCAGCGCUGAUCCUGUUUAUGCUGCCUGAAGAUGCUUUCCCAUUU